RNAcentral lists this ribosomal RNA (407 nucleotides) under uncultured bacterium. RNAcentral's name for it is "partial 16S ribosomal RNA". It matches the Rfam family "Bacterial small subunit ribosomal RNA", at positions 30 to 526 of the family's 1533-position model. The record is from RNAcentral.
AUUGAACGCUGGCGGCAGGCCUAACACAUGCAAGUCGAGCGGAGCGGCGGACGGGUGAGUAAUUCCUAGGAAUCUGCCUGGUAGUUGGGGCUAACGUCCGUACACGGGCGCUAAUACCGCAUCCUAUCAGAUGAGCCUAGGUCGGAUUAGCUAGUUGGUGAGGUAAAGGCCUACCAAGGCGACGAUCCGUAACUGGGCUGAGAGGAUGAUCAGUCACACUGGAACUGAGACACGGUCCAGACUCCUACGGGAGGCAGCAGUGGGGAAUAUUGGACAAUGGGCGAAAGCCUGAUCCAGCGAUGCCGCGUGUGUGAAGAAGGUCUUCGGAUUGUAAAGCUCUUUAAGUUGGGAGGCGGUACCAAAAGAAUAAGCACCGGCUAACUUCGUGCCAGCAGCCGCGGUAAUUC